GAGGGUGUGGCUAAGUGGUAGAGUACUUGUGUACAAAGCACAAGGCCUUGGGUUCAAUCCCCAGCACCAUUU
RNAcentral lists this transfer RNA (72 nucleotides) under Heterocephalus glaber (naked mole-rat). It matches the Rfam family "tRNA". From Rfam's summary of the family: Transfer RNA (tRNA) molecules are approximately 80 nucleotides in length. Their secondary structure includes four short double-helical elements and three loops (D, anti-codon, and T loops). The record is from Rfam by way of RNAcentral. Lineage: Eukaryota; Metazoa; Chordata; Mammalia; Rodentia; Bathyergidae.